RNAcentral lists this ribosomal RNA (306 nucleotides) under Draconarius sp. ZZ913. RNAcentral describes it as "partial 12S ribosomal RNA". Lineage: Eukaryota; Metazoa; Arthropoda; Arachnida; Araneae; Agelenidae. The record is from RNAcentral.
AAACCAUUUUAAUAUGGCGGCAUUUCAUCUAAUUAGAGGAAUCUGUCCUUUAAUCGAUAAUCCACGUUAAAUUUCACUUUAAUUUAAAACUUAUAUACCUCCAUUUUAAGAAUUACUUUAAAAUAUAUCUCUUAAAAAUAAAUAAAAAAUUAGGUCAAGGUGUAAUUUAUAUUAAAGAAUGAGAUGAAUUACAUUAAAUAUAAUUUAAAGAUCAUCAAUAAAUAUAUUUAUUUAAAUAAGAAUUUAAAAGUAAUAUUUCAACAAUAAUAUAAUAUGAUUUAAAUAAUAAAUGUGCACACAUCGCCC